This 300-nucleotide small nuclear RNA is filed under the name Aotus nancymaae (Ma's night monkey). RNAcentral describes it as "7SK RNA (ENSANAG00000004664.1)". It matches the Rfam family "7SK RNA". From Rfam's summary of the family: 7SK was discovered as an abundant small nuclear RNA in the mid-70s but a possible function has only recently been suggested. Two independent studies have found that 7SK RNA binds the CDK9/cyclin T complex (known as elongation factor P-TEFb). P-TEFb activates transcription by phosphorylating the C-terminal domain of RNA polymerase II. The record is from RNAcentral. Lineage: Eukaryota; Metazoa; Chordata; Mammalia; Primates; Aotidae.
GGAUGUGAGGGGGAUCUAACUAUAACAUGAGUCAUCCCGUUGAUCACCAGGGUUGAUUCAGCUGAUCUGUCUGGCCAGGUGAAAGUCCCCUUCCUGCCUCACCACUCCAUGUGUGUCCCUCCUGAAGCUGUAUGAUCACUGGAAGAGGAUGACUAUCCCUUGUCGAGGAGGACCGUUCUUUGGUCAAGGGCAUAUGAGUAGCUGUGCUCCUCUGCUCGAACCUCCAAACGAGCUCUCAAAAUUGAUCCUAUGCCCACUAUAACUAUUGAUGGAAUUUGGACAAAUAAUGUGACCAAAUUU